GCUUUUGUGGUGUAAUGGUAGCACACUCGACGCAUAUUCGAGAGGUCCAGGUUCGAGUCCCGGCGAGGACA
Molecule: transfer RNA, 71 nt
Filed under: Stegodyphus mimosarum
Lineage: Eukaryota; Metazoa; Arthropoda; Arachnida; Araneae; Eresidae
Rfam family: tRNA
About the family: Transfer RNA (tRNA) molecules are approximately 80 nucleotides in length.
Source: Rfam by way of RNAcentral